RNAcentral lists this ribosomal RNA (496 nucleotides) under Calothrix sp. 0HO36S1. Its description in RNAcentral is "bacterial SSU rRNA". It matches the Rfam family "Bacterial small subunit ribosomal RNA", at positions 199 to 715 of the family's 1533-position model. The record is from RNAcentral. Lineage: Bacteria; Bacillati; Cyanobacteriota; Cyanophyceae; Nostocales; Calotrichaceae.
GGUAAAAGGCUUGCUGCCUAGAGAAGAGCUUGCGUCAGAUUAGCUAGUAGGUGUGGUAAGAGCGCACCUAGGCGACGAUCUGUAGCUGGUCUGAGAGGACGAUCAGCCACACUGGAACUGAGACACGGUCCAGACUCCUACGGGAGGCAGCAGUGGGGAAUUUUCCGCAAUGGGCGAAAGCCUGACGGAGCAAUACCGCGUGAGGGAGGAAGGCUCUUGGGUUGUAAACCUCUUUUCUCUAGGAAGAUAAUGACGGUACUAGAGGAAUAAGCAUCGGCUAACUCCGUGCCAGCAGCCGCGGUAAUACGGAGGAUGCAAGCGUUAUCCGGAAUGAUUGGGCGUAAAGCGUCCGCAGGUGGUUUUAAAAGUCUGUUGUUAAAGCGUGAGGCUUAACCUCAUAAGGGCAAUGGAAACUAUAAGACUAGAGUACGUUCGGGGCAAGGGGAAUUCCCAGUGUAGCGGUGAAAUGCGUAGAGAUUGGGAAGAACACCGGUGG